CCAUGUCCAGGCUGAAGCUGCCGUAAGAGGUAGUGGAGGGCCGAACGCACAUCCGUUGAAAAGGGUGGCGAUGAGGUGUGGGUAGGGGAGAAAUUCCAAUCGAACCCGGAGAUAGCUGGUUCUCCUCGAAAUAGCUUUAGGGCUAGCCUCGAUGGAGUCUUACGGAGGUAGAGCACUGAAUUUCUAAGGGGGCGUCAAAGCUUACCAAGGGAUAUCAAACUCCGAAUGCCGUAAAGAUGCUCAUCGGGAGUCAGACUGCACGAGAUAAGUUGGGCAGUCAAAAGGGAAAGAGCCCAGACCUGCUGCUAAGGUCCCAAAGUACGUGUUAAGUGGAAAAGGAUGUGGGAUUUCGAAGACAACUAGGAUGUUGGCUCAGAAGCAGCCACACAUUCAAAGAGUGCGUAAUAGCUCACUAGUCGAGAGGUCCUGCGCCGAAAAUGUCCGGGGCUGAAACACGACACCGAAGCACAGGAUACCGUAUGGUAUGGUAGAGGAGCAUUGCUGGCGCGAUGAAGCAGUACCGGAAGGAGCUGUGGAGUGCCAGGAAGAGAGAAUGCCGGAAUGAGUAGCGAGAGAGAGGUGGGAAUCCUCUCGGCCGAAUAUCCAAGGUUUCCAGGGUAAAGCUGAUCUGCCUGGGUAAGUCGGGGCCUAAGGAGAGGCAGAAAUGCGUAUCCGAUGGACAGCAGGUUGAGAUUCCUGCACUAUCUAAAACAGAACUGUGGGGACAUUUGUGGAGAGCACAGGCGCGGAACGGAAAGCCGCGUGCAAGCGAAGGAGGAGUCACAUAGGAAAAACCGUGUGGCAAUCCAAAGGCGUGAUGCGGACCGAA
Molecule: ribosomal RNA, 829 nt
Filed under: Blautia sp. TF12-12AT
Lineage: Bacteria; Bacillati; Bacillota; Clostridia; Lachnospirales; Lachnospiraceae
Also listed under: 1 other name
Description: partial 23S ribosomal RNA
Rfam family: Bacterial large subunit ribosomal RNA
Source: RNAcentral